This 501-nucleotide ribosomal RNA is filed under the name uncultured bacterium. RNAcentral describes it as "partial 16S ribosomal RNA". It matches the Rfam family "Bacterial small subunit ribosomal RNA", at positions 28 to 506 of the family's 1533-position model. The record is from RNAcentral.
GAUUAACGCUGGCGGCGUGCCUAACACAUGCAAGUCGAGCGGCAGCGAGUUUUACACUGAAUUCUGGAAGCUUCUAGUUGAAAGAGAAGAUUUAUUCAAGAAUUUUGUGUAAAAUGUCGGCGAGCGGCGGACGGCUGAGUAACGCGUGGGAACGUACCCCAAAGUGAGGGAUAACGCAUCGAAAGGUGUGCUAAUACCGCAUAUGGUCUUCGGAUUAAAGCCUUCGGGCGCUUUGGGAACGGCCUGCGUAAGAUUAGAUAGUUGGUGGGGUAAUGGCCUACCAAGUCGACGAUCUUUAACUGGUUUGAGAGAAUGAUCAGUCAGACUGGAACUGAGACACGGUCCAGACUCCUACGGGAGGCAGCAGUGAGGAAUCUUCCACAAUGGGCGAAAGCCUGAUGGAGCAACGCCGCGUGCAGGAUGAAGGCCUUCGGGUUGUAAACUGCUUUUAUAAGUGAGGAUUAUGACAGUAACUUAUGAAUAAGGAUCGGCUAACUACGU